UCGUACAGGUCUCCGUAGGUGAACCUGCGGAGGGAUCAUUACACAAAUAUGAAGGCGGGCUGGAACCUCUCGGGGUUACAGCCUUGCUGAAUUAUUCACCCUUGUCUUUUGCGUACUUCUUGUUUCCUUGGUGGGUUCGCCCACCACUAGGACAAACAUAAACCUUUUGUAAUUGCAAUCAGCGUCAGUAACAAAUUAAUAAUUACAACUUUCAACAACGGAUCUCUUGGUUCUGGCAUCGAUGAAGAACGCAGCGAAAUGCGAUAAGUAGUGUGAAUUGCAGAAUUCAGUGAAUCAUCGAAUCUUUGAACGCACAUUGCGCCCUUUGGUAUUCCAAAGGGCAUGCCUGUUCGAGCGUCAUUUGUACCCUCAAGCUUUGCUUGGUGUUGGGCGUCUUGUCUCUAGCUUUGCUGGAGACUCGCCUUAAAGUAAUUGGCAGCCGGCCUACUGGUUUCGGAGCGCAGCGCAAGUCGCACUCUCUAUCAGCAAAGGUCUAGCAUCCAUUAAGCCUUUUUUUCAACUUUUGACCUCGGAUCAGGUAGGGAUACCCGCUGAACUUAAGCAUAUC
Molecule: ribosomal RNA, 568 nt
Filed under: uncultured fungus
Lineage: Eukaryota; Fungi
Description: eukaryotic LSU rRNA
Rfam family: 5.8S ribosomal RNA (bases 207-360)
Source: RNAcentral